This 124-nucleotide small nuclear RNA is filed under the name Lynx canadensis (Canada lynx). Its description in RNAcentral is "U2 spliceosomal RNA (ENSLCNG00005019822.1)". It matches the Rfam family "U2 spliceosomal RNA". From Rfam's summary of the family: U2 is a small nuclear RNA (snRNA) component of the spliceosome (involved in pre-mRNA splicing). Complementary binding between U2 snRNA (in an area lying towards the 5' end but 3' to hairpin I) and the branchpoint sequence (BPS) of the intron results the bulging out of an unpaired adenosine, on the BPS, which initiates a nucleophilic attack at the intronic 5' splice site, thus starting the first of two transesterification reactions that mediate splicing. Lineage: Eukaryota; Metazoa; Chordata; Mammalia; Carnivora; Felidae. The record is from Rfam by way of RNAcentral.
AUCGCUUCUUGGCCUUUUGGCUAAGAUCAAGUGCAGUCUGUGAUCCAUUUGGGGUUAAUUUUUGUGGGAGGGGUGUCAUGUCUGUGUCUAGAUUUUUUUUCUUUUUUGCAUACAGAUACCCAGU